GGGGGGGGGCAAGCGUUAUUCGGGAAUUACUGGGCGUAAAGGGCGCGUAGGCGGCCAGGUAUGUCAAAGGUGAAAUCCCUCGGGCUCAACCGAGGAACGGCCUUUGAAACUGCAUGGCUUGAGGCUGGAGGGGAUAGCGGAAUUCUCGGUGUAGCGGUGAAAUGCGUAGAUAUCGAGAGGAACACCUGUGGCGAAGGCGGCUAUCUGGACCAGUUCUGACGCUGAGGCGCGAAAGCGUGGGGAGCAAACAGGAUUAGAUACCCUGGUAGUCUACGCUGUAAACGAUGGGUACUCGGUGAUGCGGGUGUCGACUCCUGCAUUGCCUUAGACAAACGCGUUAACGUACCCCGCCGUGGGGAGUACGGUCGCAAGGCUAG
RNAcentral lists this ribosomal RNA (377 nucleotides) under uncultured organism. Its description in RNAcentral is "partial 16S ribosomal RNA". It matches the Rfam family "Bacterial small subunit ribosomal RNA", at positions 526 to 897 of the family's 1533-position model. The record is from RNAcentral.